AUGGCGGCUGAGUCUUCCUGGUGCUGGCCGUGGCUCAGCUCCGGUGCGGCGUGGUUCCUCUUCUUCAACGUCGUCGUCGGCGCCGUGGCCGUCCUGUCCUGGCGGCAGGGCGGCGACGCGCAGGUGUCUAGGCGCAGGAGGCUCACCCGGAGCGCCUCGUCCAUGGUCAUGGAGCGCCUCCGGUCCAUGCCUGUCUUCGCUGCCUUCCACUCCGUGCCCGAGCACGACUAUGGCAGCAGCCUCACACCGCCGGCGUCGCAAGAGUACUACACGUCGCCAGAAGAGGGAGGAGAGGAGACCGGGCACGCGGUGAAGCAGCUGGAGCCGGCCCUACCGGCGGGAGAAAGCAUAAUGGCGGCGACCAUGGCUCAGUGGAGACCGAGCGCUCCUGAUGCACCAGAGGAAGUACGUUCGGUGGCUUCGAUGUCGGGGGGCGAGGAGGCGGAAGCAGAGAAACGGUCGGAGAUGUCCAGAUGCUUGGGAGACGCGUGCACUGUAGCAGUGGUCCGGCAGCGAGCCGCGCCGGAGCCGGAGCCAACUCCAGCCACGGCCCCCGCCAAGAGUGCUACGACGGAGAGGCCGAGGAAGCGGGAGCCGGCGAAGGUGGCGGAGACUGUCGGGCGGCGCGUGCAUGCGGAGAUAGAAGAGAAGGCUGAGGUGAACGCGCGGGCAGAGCGGUUCAUCCGGCAGUUCCGGGAGGAGCUCAAGCUGGAGCGCAUCAAAUCCAUCAUCAACCAGAGCGCCGCCGCAUCGGCACGGUAG
This 762-nucleotide ribosomal RNA is filed under the name Triticum aestivum (bread wheat). Its description in RNAcentral is "partial small subunit ribosomal RNA". Lineage: Eukaryota; Viridiplantae; Streptophyta; Magnoliopsida; Poales; Poaceae. The record is from RNAcentral.